This 1153-nucleotide long non-coding RNA is filed under the name Salmo salar (Atlantic salmon). RNAcentral describes it as "lncRNA (ENSSSAG00000092815.1, ENSSSAG00000094828.1)". Lineage: Eukaryota; Metazoa; Chordata; Actinopteri; Salmoniformes; Salmonidae. The record is from RNAcentral.
GGUUUCUCCAAGCCCCCUAGUGCUUCAGUUUUGGUGGAGGAGACCUGAGGAAUAAAACAAAAGCAAAAAACGGAGACUAUAGCGCAACCAACACCAAGACAGCAUUUAACCCAGGGGGUGGCGCAGAGGACUGGAGAAUUCAUACGGCAAGAAGGGGGUGAUUUUUCACAGAGAGCAGUGUCUGCGCAGAGCCACGCACCAAGGCGCAGUUGGGAGCCAGGAUCUCCUUUCCCUUUUCAUUCCUUCUCUCCGACGCUGGGAGCGAGGCUACGCAGCCAGCCUCUCCUGCUUCCCCCUAAUGCAGGCUCCCGUGUGUGGCCAUGCUUCUCCGCUCAGGACCCAAAAGCAUGCUGGAUGUCACCCCACUCUUCACGCCGUAGGAUAAGUGCCAGCAGCACCCCUGCCAGGUUGAGCGAGUAUUAUGGCCAUGGGUCCCACGGUCAUCACUAUUGAGGAGGUGCGGGCGCUGGAGAGCAAGGAGGAGCAGGAGGAGUCCAUUUUGGCCUUGCUGGGCAUCGUUGGCACUUUCCUCAACCUCUUUGUCAUCGUCUUUGUUUACAUAUACACUGUCGUGUGACCUAAGCCAGAGUAGGAGUGAUCCUCCAAAACGACAAGGCACAAACCAAGAUUCCUUUUAAUCCUAAAUCAACAUAUACUGGAUUUUAAAUCCCGAGCUCCUCCCCUUAACUUUAUACUAGUUAAAAACGACAUGAGCAGUUUCCCAACACAGAGAGUGAGGAUGGACAGUUAUGUGGAGGAGGCGUCUCACAGCCACGAACCAGGGAGAUAACAGUGAGCUGUUGGCUACAUCAGGACCAUAGCUGUGCUGGAUCUGGAUCCAGGAUGGGCAGACAGACACUGGCCCAGCCCCAGCCAGGGUUCACUUUCCCAGGCUACAGGCCAGCACAGCCUGGAGUGGAACAUCACCUUAGACUCAUUGGCGUGAUGAGGGAAACAGUGUUACUGACAAAUCUCCUUUGUCAAAUGGAUUAUAAAAAAACGGAAUAAGGGACACUGAUGUCACUGGCCUGGACGGUUCAAGGGGCAUGGCGUGGAGGAGGCAGUGCAUGCACAGAACACUGGGAAGCCAUUACAGAUUAACUGUACACCACCAUAUCCCAUUGGUAAUCUUCCGGGGACAGCGUUUUAAACU